This 492-nucleotide ribosomal RNA is filed under the name uncultured bacterium. Its description in RNAcentral is "partial 16S ribosomal RNA". It matches the Rfam family "Bacterial small subunit ribosomal RNA", at positions 29 to 507 of the family's 1533-position model. The record is from RNAcentral.
AGUGAACGCUGGCGGUAGGCCUAACACAUGCAAGUCGAACGGCAGCACAGUAAGUGCUUGCUCUUACGGGUGGCGAGUGGCGGACGGGUGAGGAAUACAACCGAACCUACUUUUUCGUGGGGGAUAACGUAGGGAAACUUACGCUAAGACCGCAUACUAACUCCGGGUGAAAGCAAGGGAUCUUCGGACCUUGCGCGACUGAAUGAUGCGGUGCCGGAUUAGCUAGUUGGUGGGGUAACGGCCCACCAAGGCGACGAUGCGUAGCUGACCUGAGAGGAUGAUCGGCCACACUGGAACUGAGACACGGUCCAGACUCCUACGGGAGGCAGCAGUAGGGAAUCUUGCGCAAUGGGCGAAAGCCUGACGGAGCAACGCCGCGUGAGUGAUGAAGGUCUUCGGAUCGUAAAACUCUGUUAUUAGGGAAGAACAAAUGUGUAAGUAACUAUGCACGUCUUGACGGUACCUAAUCAGAAAGCCCCGGCUAACUACGUG